This 240-nucleotide ribosomal RNA is filed under the name uncultured bacterium. Its description in RNAcentral is "partial 16S ribosomal RNA". It matches the Rfam family "Bacterial small subunit ribosomal RNA", at positions 1265 to 1500 of the family's 1533-position model. The record is from RNAcentral.
AGGCAAAUCCCAAAAAAAUAGNGUCCCAGUUCGGAUUGUAGUCUGCAACCCGGCUACAUGAAGCUGGAAUCGCUAGUAAUCGCAGAUCAGAAUGCUGCGGUGAAUACGUUCCCGGGUCUUGUACACACCGCCCGUCACACCAUGGGAGUCGGAAAUGCCCGAAGUCGGUGACCCAACCGUUUACGGAGGGAGCUGCCGAAGGCAGGUCUGGUGACUGGGGUGAAGUCGUAACAAGGUAAC